AAAAAUUCAAGGCUGGGCCCAAAUAUAUUUUCGGCCCAGUACAACACCAAGCGGAAAAUUCUUAUUUAAGCAACAUACCACGCUACAAGCUUAAGUGGGCCCAAGCCACGCCAAUGCUUAGGGCUUGCUAAGCGGGUUGUGGUACGAAUGGUUACAAGCAUUCAUCAGGCCCAUUGAUGGUCCAAUGAGUGGAAGUUUUGGGCUACUUGGGAGCACCAAAACUCAAACCCAUUCCUUAAGCCCAAACAUAUGAGUAAGCAUGAGAGAAAACCUAGUAGCCCAUCACCUUAAGAAAACCUAAUAGCCCAUAAAAUCCCACAUCAGCCAAAGCUUCUAGUAGCCUGACGAAAUCAAAGAGAACUCACAAGCGCUGGAAACAAAACAGCCCAACCCAGCACCUUAUAAAAUAUCCAACGUUGUACAUCUCUAUUAAAACCAGAUCACAGCCAAACCACCAAAACCAAGCAAACCCAUGUGCUGAUCACCUUUUUGACCAAGCACCCUUACCCAUUCUUUCCUCUUCAAGCUUUGGUGAGAAAACAAUAAACAAAUGUGGGUGGCUCCUCACCCACAUGGAGAAGUCUAGCUACCUGAGGACCUUGGAACUCCAAAAAGCUUCAUGCCUACAUGCUCAGGCUAAGGAAGUUUCAUCAAAUAAGAUGGAAUGGAAGAAGGUGAAGGAAAAAGGGAGAGGGUGGCUUGAUAAAAUUGGGUCUUCCAAGCGCCUAUAAAAGGAGCCACUUUCUACCUAGCAAACGGACAACAAACUGAUUGAAGGCAAGCAUCCCUUUUGGAAUCCUUCAAUUUCAUGCUUUGUUCCUCCAUCUUCUUCCUCUCUCUCUCUUUCUCUUAAAACCCAUAUCCAGAUAGAGCAAGCAUCACCUCUCAUCCCUGGAACACUUCGAUUUCAAGCCUUACUUCUCCACCUCUUCCCAUGUUCUCUUCUGUCGAGCAACCCAGGAGCCUAACGAAGCUUUUCGUCAAGCUGCUGGAAAUAUGCUAAAGUCACCCAUGCUUCUAUCUUCUUCCUCUCUUUCCAAUCGAAGGCAAGCAACCAUAUCCAGAGAGAGCAAGCAUCACCUCUCAUCUCUGGAACCCUUUGAUUUCAAGCCUUGUUCUUCGAUUGCUUCCCAUUUUCUCCUCUAGUAAGCCAUUCUAGAGCUUGACAGAGCCUUUGUCAAGUUGUUGGAAAAUUACCCAAAGCACCUGUUCAUCCACCAUAAUCUAUGUCUCUCUCUCUCCUCAGCAAAUCCUCACGAAAUCAUUACUUCAAGCCUCUGUUCCUCAUAGGAAACCCAAGCCUUCUCUCUCUCAUGCUAAACUCACGAAUGCUCAGGUCCCAUGCCACAAGCUUCUCAUGUCAAGCAAAGAAUUUAUCUGUAAGCGACUGUUGGUUUCAUUGGUGAAGAAGACCAAGGUGUUUCCUCAGACUCGGCUACCCUUUCGAAACACUCUUGGGGCUUGAUCCUUGAACUCAGACUCAAGGGGCAAUUUCACACAUUUAUUUCUCUUUUCGGCAGCCCAAGCCUAUUCGUCAGGUUGCUGGAAUAAAAAGACCCCUACAUAAAUUGGCGACUCUGCUGGGAAUUAGGCCGCUGUCUUCACCAAUACCUCCAAUCAGAAGCAAUAAACCAGAGAAAAUAAAGAGAUAAGAACAUUCCUUCUUUUUUUUUUUUUUUUUUUCCUUUUGUUGGCUAUCUGCAUUGUGGAACAAACAUGAUAUAGAUUACUCACAUGCUCCCUUUGUUUGUGUCUUAGAUCUCCAUUCUCAAGCAAAACCAGAUCUUGUACGAGGACUAGGGGCCUAGGCAAAUUCAUCAUUCAUGCCAUUGAGCUAACUACACAUGAAAACUCCAAAUAACUUGGGGGCUUCAUGCCAAGCAAAUCUGUAAAUAAAAAAAAUAAAAAUAAAAAAGAGUCAAGCAUAGGCACUUCAGAGUUCUCAUGCUAAACCAAGCUAUACCUCAGUUCCAAGAGCUGUGUGAACAUUAUUCACAUCCUCAUAGCAAGUCCAAGCUACAUCAUUCCAAGCUAAGUUACAUUCUUCCAGCUCCUACUCUACAAGCAAAGAAUUUCUGUCACUUGCCUUAUUUCAAAUCUUCUUAGCCCCUUCCUCAUUUCAAACAUCAUGCCACUGUAUAUGCUCCUCAACCCCCAAAAGCUCAAUUUAUCCUUGCAACAAUUCAACAAACUCAUCUGUCAAGCAUUUGACAAAUUCACAGGGCGUAAUACCAA
This 2235-nucleotide long non-coding RNA is filed under the name Prunus persica (peach). RNAcentral describes it as "long non-coding RNA (PPER_LNC005918)". Lineage: Eukaryota; Viridiplantae; Streptophyta; Magnoliopsida; Rosales; Rosaceae. The record is from RNAcentral.